RNAcentral lists this ribosomal RNA (467 nucleotides) under uncultured bacterium. RNAcentral describes it as "partial 16S ribosomal RNA". It matches the Rfam family "Bacterial small subunit ribosomal RNA", at positions 28 to 506 of the family's 1533-position model. The record is from RNAcentral.
GACGAACGCUGGCGGCGUGCUUAACACAUGCAAGUCGAACGGAAAGGCCCUGCUUUUGUGGGGUGCUCGAGUGGCGAACGGGUGAGUAACACGUGAGUAACCUGCCCUUGACUUUGGGAUAACUUCAGGAAACUGGGGCUAAUACCGGAUAGGAGCUCCUGCUGCAUGGUGGGGGUUGGAAAGUUUCGGCGGUUGGGGAUGGACUCGCGGCUUAUCAGCUUGUUGGUGGGGUAGUGGCUUACCAAGGUUUUGACGGGUAGCCGGCCUGAGAGGGUGACCGGCCACAUUGGGACUGAGAUACGGCCCAGACUCCUACGGGAGGCAGCAGUGGGGAAUAUUGCACAAUGGGCGGAAGCCUGAUGCAGCAACGCCGCGUGCGGGAUGACGGCCUUCGGGUUGUAAACCGCUUUCGCCUGUGACGAAGCGUGAGUGACGGUAAUGGGUAAAGAAGCACCGGCGAACUACGU